UACGGAGGGUGCAAGCGUUAUCCGGAUUUAUUGGGCGUAAAGAGCUCGUAGGCGACUUAGUAAGUCGGGUGUGAAGCCUCCAGGCUCAACCUGGAGACGCCACCCGAUACUGCUGUGGCUAGAGUCCGGUAGGGGAGCGUGGAAUUCCUGGUGUAGCGGUGAAAUGCGCAGAUAUCAGGAGGAACACCAGCGGCGAAGGCGGCGCUCUGGGCCGGUACUGACGCUGAGGAGCGAAAGCGUGGGGAGCAAACAGG
Molecule: ribosomal RNA, 254 nt
Filed under: uncultured bacterium
Lineage: Bacteria
Description: partial 16S ribosomal RNA
Rfam family: Bacterial small subunit ribosomal RNA
Source: RNAcentral